Long non-coding RNA from Cavia porcellus (domestic guinea pig), 1681 nucleotides. RefSeq lists it as uncharacterized. The record is from RefSeq and is a predicted model, not a curated record. The transcript is spliced from 2 exons. NCBI's taxonomy places the organism in Eukaryota, Metazoa, Chordata, Mammalia, Rodentia, Caviidae.
UUCACAUGUGGGAAGCCGCCUAUGAAUGGCGCCCAUUUCCUGCUUCCGGGUUCUUCCCGGCCUGAACAAGCCCGCCAAAUUGUCAUAUCUGCCCAGUUACCCGUGACGCUAGCCUAUCAGCUUGUUAGGCGCGCUUCUCUGUGAUUGGAUACUGCUUCCCCUUAUAAGAGGUUGUUCCUGCCCCCAACGGCGGAAGAGGAACCAACGUUGAGGGUGGCGGACCUUGUUAGGUCCGGUUCGCUGUACGUAAUAAAGUUUGAGAGCUGAUCCUGCUCGAGUUUGGUCUCCUGUCUCCCGCAGCUCCGGUCAUCUGGUGGCCCCCGUACGGGGAAUAAAAGACUCAGCGACGUGCCUCUUCGGCCGGGAGGUGCGAUUGCUGUCGCCUGCGGUACGACGGAGGACCUGGCUCAAUAACAACGGAAGGCCGCGAGCGCCUCUUCUCUUCACCCUGAUCAGCUACGUGAGAUACAGCGGUUCCCGGGACAGGAACCAGGCUGCGAGCCGCUGUGGGUCCCAGAAAGAUUGACGCGAGCAGUAAACUCCCCACCAGUUCCUGAUAAAGCACAGGAGGAUAAGCCCUCGGACACAAGUCAACUCGACCCUUCUGGGACCGACGCUCAGCGCCCGAGACCAUCUACAAACUAAAAUGUCUGGUUUGGAGCUUUUUCUAUUCUGUGGGUUCCUAUUAAUCACCCCUGUUCGCACAAAUUUGACCAACACUGUUAUAAAUAGCCAGUUUGUGGGAACGCGUCACCUCCUGGUUCUCCUGGCCCAACCUGACUACUUGGAUCCUGAUUGCCGUGGCCAUCCUAGUGGGGCUUGUGGUUAUUAAAUGCUUGUUAGAUCGCCUCAUACAAACUCAGCAGCAGGUUAAGAUCACAGCUAUGGCAGCCAUGCAAAUGGCAGCAGGUGGCCCAUCAGGCCAGCAGGCCGCCGCAUAUCUCCUUCACAUUGCAGAACAUCAGUUAUAAAAGCUGAGUGGGCAAGCCAAUGACGGGUAAGACGGGAGACGUCCUCCCGGUCAACCUAAGACAGGCUCCACUCAGAUAUAUAUGGCCUUUAAGGCCAGGGGUCCCUCCCGGAGUCAAAUUAUUGGCAUUGAGAUGCGAGACCAAGGGUACUGCAGUGCCAUCUGCCUCAAAGGUUGGGGGGAAGGCAGGAAUGAAUGUCUAUAUGCAUCCAGGUUCGGUUCACAAAAGCCUGGCCCUGCGAAAAAAUGAACCACUCACCUUGAGCAUGGUCCUGGUGCAAGGAUAUGCACAAAACAGGGUGAUGCACAGCAGGGUAUAGACCUCUACAUUCUCUCAUGCCUCGGCCUACAAGGUAGGCCCACUCCUAGGUGUCUAACAGCAACAAGGUCAUAGGCACCUUGGAGGGACCCACAGACCAUCCUAUUUUAAUAAAUAAAAAAGGGGGAGAUGUGGGAAGCCGCCUAUGAAUGGCGCCCAUUUCCUGCUUCCGGGUUCUUCCCGGCCUGAACAAGCCCGCCAAAUUGUCAUAUCUGCCCAGUUACCCGUGACGCUAGCCUAUCAGCUUGUUAGGCGCGCUUCUCUGUGAUUGGAUACUGCUUCCCCUUAUAAGAGGUUGUUCCUGCCCCCAACGGCGGAAGAGGAACCAACAUUGAGGGUGGCGGACCUUGUUAGGUCCGGUUCGCUGUACGUAAUAAAGUUUGAGAGCUGAU